Molecule: long non-coding RNA, 5374 nt
Organism: Chiroxiphia lanceolata (lance-tailed manakin)
Lineage: Eukaryota; Metazoa; Chordata; Aves; Passeriformes; Pipridae
Exons: 2
Source: RefSeq, a predicted model, not a curated record
UUGAAGUCUUUUCCAACCUUAGCAAUUCUGUGAUUCUGUAAUAUUUCUUCUAAUUACUAUCUGAGUCAAUCUAAACACAGCUAUGAACGUCCACACACCUGAAUGUCCAUAUCAAGUGUAAGCAAAUGCAUCUGACCAGCCUCAGGUUAGGGUGCUUUUGAACGUUUUUUAAACUAAAUUAGUUUCUGUGUUGUUACAUUCAGGAGCUAAGUUUGGUGCCUACAGAAUGCUAUGUUCACAAAAACAGGCUGCAGGGUUUGUGUAAAUACAGACUCCUGGAGCUCCUGACACAAAAUACAAACCCUCUCCUGUCGAGCUGCUCAUACUGGGCAAUGUAAGACUGGCUGAAGAAGUGUGAAGAAAAUCCAUCCACACGGGCUUCAAGAGACAGGAGUGCCCACCAAAUCUGUGAAUGUCUUACAUUACUGGCUGUGGUUUUUAUACUUAGUGCCCAAGCAAAUCAAGACAUGAAUUUUGGAGAGACGAGUUAAAAUCUGUCCUAGCAGAUUAGUUUAUGAAGCAUGGCUGGAGAAUCUGACCAGCAUGGAGGUGUCUAUUGAUCCUAUUCUUUACAAGUCUGGCCACCACUGAAGGUCAGAACUGCUUUUUGUUCUACACGACACUUGUGCUGAAAGCACCAAAUUUCCAGCUUAAGAUCCCUCGUGCUCUUUAAUUACCCAACUGCUCAGUGUCUGGAGCAGCUCCCUUCGGAAGUCAGCUCUAGGAAAGAAGGAUUGACUGUGGUCUGCGAGAAGGGAGGAGACUCCAUAACGGGGGAUAAAAAACGCUAAGAAACGUAAAAGGGGUGUGGCCGUUCCGCCUGGACACGCGAUGCCAUCGCCUGCAGCUCCGUGUGAUCGGGGAGCAGUUCUGGCAGGCGACACGAGGUGGCAGCGCCAUCCACACAUCCCGCACAUGGGACCCUCGGCUGCUGCGGGGAAAGUGGGAGCUGGGAGUGGAGCAAAGCUGGCCACGCUAAAAGAUUUUGACUUUUGUCUCAAGAAUUCUUCCCUCCCACUCGCUCCUUUUCUCCUCUGUUCAGCUCUGCCGUGGUUCCCCGCGGCUUUGCACAGCUCACCUUGGAUGUAUUUCUUGCUCUUCCAACAAGUUGCUGGCUUGGCAUCUCGUGAAUAUGAAGCUUUAUGAAUGGAAUUUUAUAGGAGCUGUCAUGCUUUGGCUCUCUUUCCUGUCAUUCCCGUCACUCUUUGGGAUCUCACACUGUAUUUGGGAGUCAGAGAACCAGGGAUCUGCUCUUGCUUUGCAACUGAACGGGAUGGGAGAGGUACAUUGGGCUGAGCUGCUUCCCAUUAAGGAGCAAUGGUGAAUUCCUGUGUCUCUGUUCUGCUUCUUGGUCCUUCCUUGCUGUUUCUGUUCUAUCUCGUUUCAACACACAUUUUGGGACAGGUGCACCUGUCAGCUCAGAGCACUGCCGUGCGUGGAACCAUUUGGAGAUAGGAUAGCUUUGCUCAUGGAAUGUUAUGUGCUUUGCUGCCUUGGUUUUGGUUGUGUCCUACUCAUUAUGCCUUCCAUGGCCAUUUUCUUACUCACAAAUCUCUUUUUAACCUCUUUUCAAUGACUGCAGGAAAACCUAGUCUCUGUUCACAACAUGAUCAACCAGUCUUGAAAAGCUCUGAACAAACAUGUGUCUGGCUGGUUGCUCUCUGCUGCACUGGACCUGAGCUCAUGGGGUACCUUUCUGGUUACUUAUCAGUCUUCACAAAAAACAAGUAAUGCCACAGAGGCUUUUACCAUCAGGUGAAAAACCUUCCCCAGAGCCAAACACCCUGGGCUCUGUGAUAGGACUGGAUGAAAACCUAGACUUCAGUGGGGAGCACUGAGGUAUGGAGGCAAGAAAAAGUGGAUGGAACUUUGCUGCUGAGUCCUGGUAAGCUGCAGAUGUGGGUGAAAACUGGCCAUGUUUGAAGGGAAUUCGAGAAGCACACAGAAAGGACUGAUGUGGUUUGCACUACCACUGCCACCUUUUGCUUCUUCAAUGAUUCAGUCUUCACAGAGGUGGAGUCUUCCUCUCCUCUGCAGAAGGGAUUUGCACACAAACGUGUUCUGUUCCUUCCUGGACGCUGCUGGAGAAAAGUCUGAGAUUGGUUGUUCGCUUAUUAUUAAUAAUAAAAAUGGGAAGAAAAACAAAGCUGAACAAAUUAAAUGGACCAAAUUCUACGUACUAAAACGAAAAGCCUGGUUUCAUUAGUUUAGGAAGUUUUGUGGCCUAGUGCUAAUGUAGAAACUACAGUAAUUAAUCCCAGUAAAAUUAAUCCCUGGUAAAACUGGAGUAAUUUCUCCAUAGGAGAUGGACCUGCUACAUUAGACAUAGUAAGUAAUUCUAUUAUUUAAUCAACAAUUAAAGGCUAAUAGUGCUCCAGGAAGGACUUGAUUUCUCUCAGAGAUUUAAAUUCCACCAGAAACUCCACUCUUGGAUCUGCAGUUCAACUGUAUGUUUUUCCUCAUGAGGAAAGUCAUGUGGUAGAACAGUUGCUGUAUUUAAGCCUCACAAAUGGAUUCCUAGUUAAGGCCACACUACUUAAAGGCUGCCUUUGCUCAUUACAGUGACAACUAAGAAAAUACAGGUAUGAAGACAAACAGAUGGUCUAACAACUCCUGUCUGUUAAGUACACCCAAAAUGCCUGCACAAGAGUAAAGCAGUUUUACUAAAUAUUUUGGCUUCAGCUGAUUUGCAGAGUCAUCCCUAAGUCACGGAAUAAUUACAUAACUCAUGGAAUGCAUGUAGAAUAAAAUUAACACAAAAAAAAAUAGAUGAGAACUCCUUUAUCAGAAUUCAAAAUGAGUCAGUGUUUGUUUCUGAACCCAGAUUAACAGUGAUAGGGUGAUAAAAAUCAAGUGCUGUGAUUCCUUCUUGCUAUUUAAAAGCUAUGCCUUAUGUCUGCCAGACCACUGUGGCGUGUCUUAAAAGUGAGCAUUUCUGGAGUACAUUUCUAAUCUAAUGGUGCCCAGAAAAAACAGUAUUUUCUUCUCCUGUUUGACAGAGAUUUGGUUUUAAUACCUCUGUGAUCAAAGCAGCAAUCUGACAGGAUCUCAGUUUGGCUGAUUUCAGGUCACUGCAAACCUUAGGUAAAAUCUACAAUGCCCUUCAGGUUAUUUAAUUUGUGAAAAGACUUAACUCUAAUCCUGCUCAAUGCUAAGGGCACUUUGGUACCUCUGUGCUUUUGCUUUUGAAUAAUGGGGUUUAUGCUCCUGAAAGACAUAGACUGUGAAGCACAUAACCCUGGAUGCAUCUGUGCCAUAUCUGAUGAUCCAAUUCAUAAAGCACAUCUUGUUUUUGAGGGUAGUGUGAAAGUCAGUGUUGCUUGGAAGUGUUUAACUGAAUGGUGACAAGCUACAGCUCCUCAUUUACUGUCUAAAGUGAUACAGAAUAAAUGAGGAACGGGGGAGUUGAAAGGACCUUCUGGGUCACUGAGUUCACCCCCAGUUCUGCAGAUGAAUGUGCACGUCUGACAAGCCUGCAGCUUUCAGUAACCUAAAAAUAUCAAUGCAAAGCCACAGUAAACAGACCCUAAUCUGUGCACAGAGGUUCCUGUAACACCGCUGUGCUCUGUCCUGAGUCCAGUCUGCAGCCAGCACACAGACAGACACUCACUGAGAGGUGAGGACCCUGCUGGCAGCCACACACGUUGGCUGUUAGUGGUCAGCAACACCUCCUCACCCUCAUCAUCCCCUCUGGUGAGUGUGGACAGUCACACAUGAAGUGCAGCUUUUCUGGUCGACAAAUGAGGAAUCCCUGAAUAAUGCAGGGAACCAUCCUCAUUUCACCCCAGAGACAGCAGACAGGGAAUGGAUCCACUGCCCCUGGAGCUUGUUGUUUGUCAGUCGAUGGCAGCAGGAGAACUGUUUGCCCCAGCCCAGCACUGAAAAGAUGAAGAAUGGCUCUGGUGCCCCCCUUGAGGACAUUUUCAGUUGUGAAGAUCAGACUCUGGAAACAGGUGACCCACUCUGAUCACUCACGACCUGUUGUAUGAAUCUAAUUCUGCCUUCAGAGAGGCACAAUAACAAUUCUGAGCUAUAUUACCUUAAUAAGAUCUGCAUCAAUUUAAAUGAAAAGAACCUGUUAAACCAGUAUAUAAAGCAUACCAGUGAAAUUAGAAAGUCCAGGACUGGAAAUGUCUAUUGUUAAAGAGAAUUAACAUGAAUAUUUAAGUUCAACUCCUUUAUGAAGUGGGGCUAAAAUACAGACUAUUCCACUCUGCUAUAAAAAUCACAUGCCAGGGCAUACAAGCUGCCACAGGAUGUGUGUCCCAAAUGGAGAACUGCUUUACUCCUAUCUGCAGUUCCUUAUUUCUAUCUGUCUGUUGUUCUGUGCUUUUUUUUCUGUUGGAUUCCUGGUUGCUCUGGUAACUGGUGUUCGUGAAUAUGCAGUAAAUUUGCUUUUGCCUAAGGUAUAAUUAAAAAAGCCGUCAUACCCUACCCCAGUAGGGUUUUGGCUUAAAAAUAUUUUUUUCUGACCUUUUUUUUUUUCAAAUUUAAAGUGAAAGCAACAGAAUCAGCUUCAGUGCUGCCAUAAAUUUAAUUUUUUUUAUUGCAAUUGCUGGUUUGAUCUCUUUGUAAAUGAGAAAGAAAGCAGUGCUGCUUUCUCUGCAAGUGCAAAAGGCUCAGUUUCAAAUUCAUGGGAACGAUAUUGCAUCAAUACUUAAAAGUCAUGUCACAGUAAUCUUCAAAUCUUCAUCUCCACGUGAAAAGUAGUGCCUUCAGGAAGGGGAAAAAAAAAAGCUCUGAUCAAAAUUCCAAGAGUUAUAAAUAAGGACUCUGUACACAAAGGAACUUUGUGUUUGCAGUGGAGUGUCAUAUGAUGGCAAAAGCACAUGAGGGUCACCCUGAGAAUUACAUCAUCCGGAAGGAAACACAACAUGCAUCUCUCCUACGUGAAAAGCGUGUCAGACAGACCCCAUGGGUUUGCAAAGCCUUGGCUCUUUGGUCUCCAAUGUCUCAUUAAAUCCAGAAGAGGUUAUUUUUACCCUCACUGGAUUUAUCUUUCCUGGACAUGCAAUGGUAAUCCUUAUUGAACUGCAAAGCCUACCACGAAGGAGAAUCACUUUGUGUUGAGACAGCUAUUCUUGUACAAGAAUUUUAAUGUGAUAUGACAGGCAACUUUUUUUCUUUUGGGAGAGAAAGAGUAUUUCUAUGAACUUUGCUAACUGCUCACACUGCAUUUACUGGCCCUUUUCUCCCUUGCACACAUGUGCAUUGCUGGUCAAAAGCAAUGGCAAUUUAAGCACCUUGCUUAAACUGUAAACUGUCUCCUGAAUUACUUAAGCGAUUCUGGUCAGAGAUACAAAUUCAAUACUGCACAUACCCAGACUGUAGAUGUUGAGAGCACCUACAAUGAAAAAUGCUCUAAUUCUCUAGG